UUGCAUAAGACAUUACCCCCUAUUGAAAUAGUUCUAAGAGUAAACCGUUGCAGUAGUAAAAUAACCGUUGCCAAAGAUAAAUCUACGGCAACGGUCCCGGUAUAGAUUCAUCUGUAGCAACAGUUAUUUGAUUUCCCCUCAUAUUUUCCCUCUUCUAAUUUUACUAAACUGGAUUUUACCUUUUUCUUAUAUCCAGCCCUAGACCUUUUUGUAUUCCUCCAACUUGCCUCUUAAACAUCAGAACAUAUCCAGCCCCUUCUCUUAACUUCGAACCCUAACCUCUUGCGCCAGUCAAUCCGGGAAGGCUUUCCGUCAUGGCUCCGGCAAAAACUAUCGUAUUUCUUCUCCAGUACACAUCCCAACUGACACACAACCUAGGGUAAGUAAUUUAACAGUAGCAACAAAGAGUCACAAAUCUUGCUCCUCUAUAUUCUUACCAACUGAUGUGAGACACCACAAAGUUCCAUAUGUUUGGUAAGUUAACAAUAUUUUUUACAUUUUUUUUCCUCUGCAAUUUUAUUUGUAAAUGGGUGAAUAAAAUUACUUGGUUAAUACCUAAUUUGGUACCCUAAAUGUGUUGGUGAAAAAUGAGUUGGGGUUUUUCUUGUGAGUCAUUUGAUUUGGGUUUCAUGAGAUGUACUCCAAGUGAAGUCAUACACUUUAUUUGUGAGGUUGUGUGCUUGAUUAAUUUUCACUAUUACUUAAUUAUUGGCACUACCUAGGACUGAAAUGUUUGUGGCAUGUUAAAUUGGAUUUUCCAGAAUUUUCUAGGGAAAUCAGUUCUAGAUAUGUUUUAAACAGUAUUUGAAUUUCCGUGCUCAGAAGGUGUUUGAAAAUAUUUCACAAUGAACACCUUUGAGUGUCCCAAACAAAUAAAGUUGCAAUUGACUGGAAAGCCUAAUUGCAUAUCAGCAUGAUCUUUUUGUUUAGUCAUACAUAAGGCCAAAACAUAAAAAUAAGAUUUUUGGAACCGGAAGAUUCUACUUUAAUAGUAAUGUUUGUGUUAAACUUAUCAUAGUGCUAAACAUUAUAAUAUUAACUUCCAAAUAUUUUACUGGUACUAACUUUUAAAAGAAACCAAUUAAUAUAUUUAGUUACUAUUCGAACAAUGUUACUUUAUUUAUCAUCUUGGUUAAGCAAUUUUAUAGAUGGUGUGAGAAUAUUUAAGAGAAAUGUCAUGUAUACUUUUAUAAUAGUAUUUGUGUGGCAUAUACAGUUACUUACCUUUUGGAGGUGCAUGUCAAAUAAGAUGUGGUUUGCAUUGGACAAUAAGAUGUUACUAUUUGCUUCCUUAAAAUGAAUAAUAUUUUUAUUAUGUAUAAGAAAAUAGUUCCUCGAGUUUUGAUUGAAUUGCGCUUGCCUUCUCUCAUUUGUAUAAAAAUUGGAAGAGAUAAAUAUUCAUGCAUUAUUAAAAACAAGCAUCAACUAAAUAAUUAAUCUGGUAGAUUACUUAAGCAACAGCAUGAUUUAGUAGCUAUUGUUGAUGAAGAAGAUGUUUCAAAGCUUACUGUGUUGUACAUGAAUAUGAUAGCAUGGGUCAGCUAGUAAGUUUUCGUUUUCUUCACUUUUUCUAUCUGUGGUAUCCCAGCUUCUAUUGCUUUCUUUAGUUAUCUCUAUAUGUCACUAUUAGUGACUUUGGUCUAUUGCUUUGUCCAUUUCACUUAUUAGUUAGUCCUAAAUUGAUUUUCUGCUAAAACGUUUUGACCCGUCAUAUGUCCGUCAAUGCGUCCAUCGCCACAGAAAAUACGAAUGGGCUAAGGGCUGAUACUCCUCACCCUCCCUUUCACCACCCUCUCCCAAACUUUCAUCGUAUUACUAAAUAGCUUGAUGCCCCUAUAAUUAUUGCAAUUCUAUAUAUUACCCUUAUUCUUGUACACCGGAAUCAUUGUACUCCACUUCCACUCCUCAAACAUUUUCAUCGUCCUAAUAAACAGCCUAGAGAGCCAUUCCAAGCGGGCCUUACUCGCGUUCUUCCAUAAUUCUACAAGGAUUUCGUCUGGACCUGUCACUAGCCCUGCUCAUCCUAAGCAUCGUCCCCUCGACUUCUUCCACUCUCAUGCGACCACAGAACCCAAAAUCUCGAUGAUUCCCAAAGUGCUUCAAAUCCUACAACAAAAUGUUCCUACCUCCCCCGUCAUUCAAGAGUUUAUGGAAGUAUGACUACCAUCUCUGCCUGAUUUGCGCCUCAUACAUCAAAACUCUACCUUCCUCGUCUUUUAUGAACUUCACUUGAUCCAGAUCAAAUGCCUUUCUUUCUCUCACUUUUGCCAGCCUGUAAAGCUUCUUAUCCCCACCUUUAUCCCCGCCUUUAUCCCCAAUCUCCUCAUACAAACGUCCAAAAGCCGUAGUUUUAGCCUCAGUAAUCGCUAACUUCGCCCCCUUCUUAGCCUUCUUAUACUACUCCCUGUUAGCCCUCAUCUCCACCUUAUCUACGCUCUUGACUAGCUUCAAAUACGCCGUUUUCUUGGUUUUCACUUUCUCUUGGACCUCUUCAUUCCACCACCAGUCCCCUUUAUGGCCACCAACGAACCCUUUCGAGACCCCUAACACCUCUCUCACAGCUUUUCUAAUACAAUUCGGAAUCAUGGUCCACAUACAACUCGCGUACCCACUACUCCUCCAGGCCCCAAUAACUAGUAGCUUCUCCCCCAACUAUUGGGUUUUGUCCUUAGUCAAGGCACCCCACCAGAUCCAACGUAGAAAACCCAUAACUGUAUUAUUCCUUAUCCGCAUGAUCGCUAAUUCCAUAACCAAUAGCCUACGCUGGGUCGUGAGAAUCUUGCUCAGGAUGAUCUUGUAAUCCGUGCAUAAACCACUAUUGCACCUCCUGAGUAGUAGAUAAUCAAUUUCGGUCUUGGCCACCGUACUUUGGAAGGUGACCAAGUGCUCCUCCUUCUUCUGAAAACAUGAGUUAGCAAUCACCAAGUCAAAUGCUUUAGCAUAAUCUAACAGUGAAGUACCUCUUCCGUUUUUGACACAAAAAUUGAAGACGCCAUGUACCCCGUCAUAACCCCCAGACGACGUCCCAAUAUGGUCAUUGAAAUCUCCUCCUAUGAUAAUUUUAUCGAUGUGCGGAAUUCCCCGCACCAACCCAUCUAAGUCAUCCCAGAAGUGCCUUUUCACCUUCUCAUCCAAACCCACCUGAGGCGCGUAGGCGCUUAUUAUGUUGAAGGUACAUCCUCCCACAACUAUCUUAGUUGACAUCAACCUGUCAUUCACUCUCUUAACCUCUACCAAUAGCUCUCUAAGUUCCCUAUCGACUAAGAUGCUUCCCCCAUUCUUCCCCUUCAUCCCCCCGAAUACCACAACUUAUAUCCAUCAGCAUCGCGUGCCUUAGUCCCUACCCAGCUAGUCUCCUGGACACAUGCUAUAUUGAUCUUUCUCUUCUGGAGAAUCUUCGCUAAUUCUAUGGACUUUCCCGUCAAUGUCCCUAUAUUCCAGGAUCCAAAUCACAUCGUAGAGGUUUCCUUACCCCCUUACUACCCUUGGCCCUCACCCCCCGCCCCACCCGAGGACAUGACCUUACUCUAUCAUUGUUCACCACAACCACUAUAGUAUAAGGUAUAAUAAUCAAUUCAAAUUAAUGCAAUAUUCCUAGUCACAACACAAGGCAACAAAAUCGUAAGUGCUACGUUAGUAUAACACUGGGGGAGAAAUUCCUAAAAUCAAGGGACAUAGCAAGAAUGGGGAAACAAGUCAAAGCUAUUAGACUCCGAAUAACGAGUAUAAACGAUGAAUAACAGAUCGAGGAUGCUACUCAAUCACACAAAAACGAGUAACUAAGUGUACAACCACAUAAACCAAAAAACAAAUCGAUAGGUAGUAAAAGAAUUAAAGCAACAAGAGGUAUAACAAUAUAGCUCAAUACUAGAAUUAAAAAAAAUACCAAUUCAAGAAAUUUAGAACCUGGAAUCAAGUUGGGGUUGUCUGAAUAGUGACACCACCAGUCACUAGCAUGUGCACUCUACUCGCCGCCGGAUGUACGCCGAAAAUUGAUACUCUAUGCAGAUUUGGUCUGGCCAACACGUACUCCGACAGAGUGAAUGGAGGCAGAUCUUAACCAGGAAAGGGUUAGAGAGAGACGGAAGGAGAGAGAGAUACAUGGGAGAAAAAGGGAUGAAAAGCAAGGGGGAGAACGAGAGAGGGAAAAGAAAGAAGGAUUAAGGGGUGAUAUACUUACUUGGUCGCCAGGGACCUGCACUCUGGUUGGAGGGGAAAAGACCGUACAGGUAGGCCCAAACCCGGAUGAGCCCAACUAAACCCAAAAAAUCCUUCUUCUGAAAACAUGAGUUAGCAAUCAUCAAAUCAAAUGCUUUAGCAUAAUCUAAUAGCGAAGUGCCUCCUUCGUUUCUGACACAAAAAUCGAAGCCAUCAUGUACCCCGUCAUAAUCCCCAGACGACGUCCCAAUAUGGCCAUUGAAAUUUCCUUUUAUGAUAAGUUUCUUGAUCUGCAAAAUUCCCCUCACCAACCCAUCUUAGUCAUCCCAGAAGCACCUUUUAAGCUCCUCGUCCAACCCACCUGAGGCGCAUAGGCACUAAUUAUGUUAAAGGUACAUCCUCCCACAACUAUCUUAAUAGCCAUCAACCUGUCAAUCACCCUCAUAACCUGUACCACUAGCUCUCUAAGUUCCCUAUCGACUAAAAUGCCUACCCCAUUCUUCCCCUUCAUCCCUUCGAGUACCACAACCUAUACCCCACAUGCCUUAGUCCCUACCUAUCUAGUCUCCUGGAUACAGGCUAUGUUGAUAUUCCUCUACUGGAGAAUCUUCGCUAAUUCUAUGGACUUCCCCGUCGAUGUCCCUAUAUUCCAUGAUCCAAAUCGCAGCCUAGAGGUUCCCUUACCCCCUUACUACCUUUGGCUCCAAUCCCCCGCCCUACCUGAGGACUUUACGUUACUCUAGCAUUGCUCACCACAGCCACUAUAGUCUAAGGGAUAAUAAUCAAUUCAAAUUAAUGCAAUAUUCCUAGUCACAACAUAAGGAAACAAAAUCAGAAGAGCUACAAUAGUAAACCACUAGGGGGAAAAUUUCCUAAAAUCAAGGGACACAACAAGAGUUGGGAAACAAGUCAAAGCGAUUAAACUCCGAAUAACCAGUAUAAAUGAUGAAUAACAAAUCAAUGAUGCUACACAAUCACGCAAAAAUAAGUAACCAAGUAAGAGUAAAAAAAAAUAAAAAAAGUGACAUGCAGUAAAAGAAUUAAAGCAACAAGAGAUAUAACAAUAUAGCUCAAUACCAGAAUUUGAAAAAUACCAAUUCAAGAAAUUUAGAACGUGGAAUCAAGUCGGGGUUGUUUGAACAGUGAUGCCUCCAGUCAUCGGCGCGUGCGCUCCACUUGCCGCCGAAUGUCGUCGAAAAUCGGUACUCUAUGAAAAUCGGGUCCUGUCGGCGCGUACCCUGACAGAGCGAACAUAGGCAAAUCUUGACUAGGAAAGGGAUAUAGAGAGACGGAAGGAGAGAGAUAUACAAGAAAGAAAAAGGGACGAAAAACAAGGUGGGAGAUCGAGAGAGGGAAAGGAAGGAAUGAUUAAUGGGUGAUAUACUUACUUUGUCGCCGGGGACCUGCACUCCGGUUGGAGGGGAAAGGACCGUACAAGUAGGCCUGAACCCGGACGUGCCCAACUAAACCCAAAAAAUCCUUCUUCUGAAAACACGAGUUAGCAAUCACCAACUCAAAUGCUUUAGCAUUAUCUAACAGCGAAGUACCCCCUCUGUUUCUGACACCAAAAUCGAAGCCGUCAUAUACCCCGUCAUAAUCCCCAGAUGACGUCCCAAUAUGGCCAUUGAAAUCUCCUUCUAUGAUAAGUUUCUCGAUAUGCGAAAUUCGCCGCACCAACCCAUCUAAGUCAUGCCAGAAGCGCCUCAUCCAAACCCACAUAAGGAACAGAGGCGGAUCUUGACUAGGAAAGAGAUAGAGAGAGAUGGGAGGAGAGAGAGAUACAGGGGAUAAAAAGGGACAAAAAGCAAGGGGGGAGAACGAGAGAGGGAAAGGAAAGACGGAUUAAGGGGUGAUAUACUUACCUGGUCGACGAGGACCUGCACUCCGAUUGGAGGGGAAAUGAGCAUAUAGGUAGGCCUGAACCCAAACGGGCCUAACUAAACCCAAAAUAUCCCAACCCACUAACAGCCCGAUCCCCCAGCCUACUAACUAGCCCGCACCCUUAACUGGACGGUUGUUUUUUCCCCACCCAGCCUGGUCUAGCCCGUUCGGUAAAUACAUAUACUCUCAACAAUAAAUAAGAAAAAUAAGAAAUGGUCUUUCACAUGAAUGUGGACCACUUAAAUGAAGAAGUAACUUACAACUUUACCAUGGAAAUUCCACCAGCUUAGAUCAAGUGAAACAUGAAAAGAAAGGUUGCCGAGUUGUGGUGGGAUUGUACUAGUUAAGCCCAUGUCCAAAAUAUUCAAUGAAAUAACUCUUUGAUGACGAAAGCCACAAGUGAUUCUGAUCCAAUUACAAACUGAGGUUGAAGAAGACUAGUUUGUUAAAAGAAUUUGAUAAGGUUCUAAAGUGAUGUGGGCUUUCAAGGCAAAAAUGCUAGAAGCUGAAAAGAGGAGGCUAUCUCCAUUAUUGAUAUCCUUAUUUCCCUUGACUACCAUGAAAGAAAAUGCAUUUGUGGUUUUCAAUAUAGAUAGAGAGAAUAAUGGAAUAAGAGUUGGCUCUCUAGGUCAUCCACUUUCAUGAUUUUGGAAUUUGGAAUUGAUAAAGUCAAGUCGCAUGACUCGAAAUUUACAACCAAAUUUCCAUGUUGCUUUGCUCCACUUGCCCUAUUUUGUUAAUAUAACACCCACCACUUCCCAUUUCCUUAGCAUACUUUGUUGCUUAUUUUGGUUGCAAUUGUGCAACUAUAAAAAUCAGUUGUAUCCAUAAAAAGUGUCUACUCUUGAUUUUCUCUUGGUUAAUUUACUUCUUGACUUUUAAUGUUGGGUAUAUGUUUCUUCUCUUAACAUUUUAAUAAUUUAAGUGAUAUUUUUAGACAAAGAUGAGUACCUGGUGAGACAAUCAGAUUCUAAGCCCCUUACUAAUAGCCCAAUUUAACGAUCCGACCAGUCGUUUUGAACUUUUGCAUUUCAUUUGGUGGUUUGAGACUUUGAGUAGCUUCAUAUUAUGUAUUAUAACUUGUGUGUAUGGUUGGUUUCAGUUUUCGAGCGGUUCGGGAAUAAUUUGAAAGAAUGAUUCUCAUUUUAGAAGUUUUAAGUUGGAAGAGUUGACCAAAAUUUGACUUUUGGGUAAAUUGACUCGGAAUUAGGUUUUAAUUGUUUCGAUAGGUUUGUAUGAUGAUUUUGGACUUGUACGUCUGUUCGGAUUUGGUUUCGAAGGUUCCUAGAAGAAUUUGAUACUAUUUGUCGAAAGUUCGCAAUUUGAAGAACUUAAGAGUUCAUAUGUUUGACCAAGAGUUGACUUUGAUGUUAUUGGACUCCAUUUGGUAUUCCGAGAAUUUGGAUAGGUCUAUAUAGUUGAAUUGAACUUGUACGCAAAGUUUGAAAAUAAUCUGAAGUUUUUCAGUGUGAUUCGAACACUCUUUUGAAAGAAUGAAAAUUUAACAAUUUAAGAGAAAUUUUAUUCGGUUUGAGCCUCGAUUCUUUGUUGUGAUGUUCCCGUUGAUGUUUUUAGGCUUUGGAUAAAUUUGGAUGAUGUAUUUGUACUUGUUGGUAUGAUUGGAUGGGGUCCCGAGGGGCUCAAGUGUGUUUUGGAUCAUUCGUUGAGAAACUAGUUAAGUUAAUAAUUUGAAGUUUGACCAUGGUCAAUAUCAGGUCAAGAUGACCUCUUUUCGGUGUUUUGAGUGCGCAAGCAGGUUCGUAGCGUGAUUUAUGAUUGAAAUGCAUAUAUGGUUUGUGUCCGGGAGGUUCCGAAUGAGUUUUGGGUGCUAAAACGAAGAUUUUCUUACUGCUGGUUUUUUUUCCUGGUGUAAAUAAUUUAAAAAAUGCCAUUUAUGUCCCUGAAAUCUUCCGACUUCGUUUAAAACUUCAAAACAUCAUAUCUUCCUCAUUUUAAGGCCAAAUUAGGUUAUUCAAGAGACUAUCUUGGGUACAAUCUUGCAAGGAUCAUGUUGGGCUUAUCCAACGUGAGUUUCGGGAUCAUCUAGGACCUGAUUUGAGCUGGGACAACUGCUGCAUUUUUUUUCUUGUUUCAGAAUUUAGAUAUUUUUUCUCCCAAGGUUUUGGAGCUCAAUUUGGGCGAUUUUGGAGGGGAUUUUUACUACUUGGAUUGGGGUAAGUAUUUUUAACUUAUAUUUGUUAUUACUUCAUAAUUUCAACCUCGAUUUUAGUGUUUGAUUAUUUACUUGAAGGAGAAAUUGGAAAUUUUAGUAAAAGCUUUCUAAAACAUAAAUUGAUGGCUUGAAGGCUGAUUUGAGGUCAAAAUUAAAUGACUUUGGUAUGGUUGUACUCGUAUCAGAAUGAGUGUUCGGAAUUUAUGAGUUUUGUUGGAUUCUGAGCUGCGAGCCCCGGGUUGACUUUUUGAUUUUAGUUAAAGAUCGAAUCUUUAUUAUCUGAAUUUGUUUCCUACGGCUUUUAUUUAUGAUAUUAAGUUAUUUUGGCUCGAUUUGAGCCUUCCGGAAGUAGAUUUUUACGGAAAUGGCUUAUUAGUAGAUUGAAUUAGCUUGUUUGAGGUAAGUAUCUCGCCUAACUUUGUGUGGGGGAACUACCCCUUAGGAUUUGAGUUGUUUGUAUUAAUUGAAUUGUCUGGGAGACGUUGACUUGAGGUGACAAGUAUUUACACGGGUUCAUAUGUGAUAUUUUGACCGGUUUAGGCUCUUAGGCUUCUUUCAUGCAUUUAAUUGAUAUUUUCAUAUCAUGUUAUAUCUUGCAUUGUUUAGUUUACUCUUACAUGCCUUGUUUGACGUUGUUAGUACAUGUUCUAUCUCUUAUUGUCAAAUUUGCUCUUAUAUGCCUGUAUUGAAGAUGUUACCUCUUUUAUGUCAUGUUACCCCCUUUAUUGUUGAGUUAUUCUUAUUCGGAGUUGUUAUUACAUUAAAUUUUUUCGUGUUGAGUUAUUCUCAUGUAUUUAGACGUAGUUACUAUUUCAUACUAUCUCUUUCAUUGUUAAGCUUAUGUUAUACAUUUGAAUUGAAAAUUGUCAUUUCGCGGGAAUACCUUCAUUUUGAGUUAUUGAAGUUGAAUUCGUGAAAGCUAUUAGCACAUUGAGGUUGAGGUUGUUGUUUAUUAAGAUAUCUUUCCUUGUUAAGUAUUUCUCAUUCAUUUGUUUAUUUUGAGAUUGUUGUAUACAUUGUGGUUGAGCCGUGGGCUAUGUGUUCUGGUAAAAUUGAUAUUGUUGAUUUUGGCAAGUUAUGGUAUAUGGGCGCGUGUGGUGCCAUGUGUUAUUGUGUUGUGAUAUUGAUGCGCAUGCAGAGGUAUAAGGAUAGGGGUUGAUGUGCAUGCGGCAACAUAAGGUAGAAUUUAUUUGCGUGUUGCUAGUAUAGGAAUUGCUUGAAGCCACGCUGCGACAUAAGGGGGCUAAAGCGUGUGUAGCUAUUUCGGAAAAAAUAUUUUCAAAAAUCUAAAUGUAAGGCUCACGCGGUGAUAUAAUAAAAUAUUGUGAUUGUGAUUUGUGAAUUGUGAAUAUAAGGUGUGGUACCUCAAUGUGAAUUUGUUGUACAUUCUACAUUUGAAAGGCUUGUUGAUUUGAAUGGUUAUGGUUUUUCCCUAAAUCAUCUCACUUGUAUUUUGAUUGUAUUUGGUUAUUUGUUGUUAUUUUGUAUGAGAACGAUUGUGACUUCUUAUAUGAGUCAUGCAUUCUACGUGAUUUGCUGUGUUGCUUUAAUGUGCCAACCUGUGCCUUCGUGUUACUUGGUGAAUUGAGUUUCUAGAUGAAUUUGCCUACGCGGAGUCAUUAUCUCAUACUCUGCUGAGUUGUUGGUAACAUAAUAGUUUUAAAUAAAAGAAUUAUUAACAUGCUUUAUUUUAUGUGACUCUUAAGAUAGAACUCGUUAUCUCAUUCGGUGCUUUGCUAUUUUCAAAUGAUUAUCACAUUUUACUUUAAUUGGGUUCUCAAAUUAAACUCAUUACGUUAUUUGAUGUUUUACUUUACGUGAAAUUGUUAUCACGUCUUACUUUAACAAAUUCUAUAUUUAAUUCGUUAACUUAUCUGAUAUUUUUCUUAAUUUUAAUACGCUAUUUUACUUUAUGUUAUUGAUUUCUAAACUAAACUCAUUUGAUAUUCUAUUUCUGUAUAAAUUGUACUUUAUUUUACUUUAUUUAUUUUUUAAAAUAAACUCAUUAUCUCAUUUGACGCCUUUAUUCAAAAUUGUUAUUAUGACUUAUUGUAUUUAAAUAAACCUCUCGAAUAUUUUAUUUGACAUUUGACAUGGAUACAAUGUACAUGGUAGCACGUGGACUUUGCCGUGCGAAGGUGAUUGAUAAUGUGGGCACGAGGUGUCAUGCGUGUAAGAUUUGGAUUUGUGGCUUAUGAUUUGUGGUUACAAGGUGUGGUGUCUUGGGGUAAUUCUUGUUGUAAGUCAUGCGUUGGGAACAAUUUGAUUACUUGAAUUAUCACAUGUUUUCCAAAUUUGAGUUCAUUUAUAUUUCAUCUGUGUUCGUAUUAUGUUGCUGCUUUAUUACCCGUUUACUUCUUGUUGUCAAUUGUGUUUUUACUAUUCCUCUAUUGGUUUUAUAUUAAUAAUCUUUACGCUGUUAGCCUUACAUUGAUGUUCUUUCUAUUGCUAGCUUUAUGUUGAUAUCUUGCACAUGUUUUAUGUCUAGUGAGUGUCUCGACUUGCCUCGUCACUACUCCAUUGAGGUUACUCUUGAUACUUAUGGGGUACCGCUGUGAUGUACUCAUGUUACGCUUCUGUACAUUUUUGUAUAGAUCCAGACACUUCUGAUCGUGUUGGUUCUUGAGAGUUGUGUUUGCACGUCUGGAGUCUUCAAGGUAUACCUUCUUGACGUUCGCAUGCCUCAGAGUCACCUUCUGAUAUUAUCUUUACUGUUGUUUAUCUUCAUUUCAGAAUAUUAUUGUAUUUAGAAAUUCUAGUGUAUGUCGGUAGAGCUUAUGACUCUGUACUAUCGGUUCUGGGGAUUGUAUAACAUUUGUUCAGUUUUAGUUACGUUAUCUCAUUUAUC
This 11060-nucleotide long non-coding RNA is filed under the name Nicotiana tabacum (common tobacco). Its description in RNAcentral is "long non-coding RNA (NTAB_LNC002042)". The record is from RNAcentral. Lineage: Eukaryota; Viridiplantae; Streptophyta; Magnoliopsida; Solanales; Solanaceae.